UCCGUAGGCGGGCGUCUAAGUCAGUGGUGAAAUCUUACAGCUCAACUGUAAAAUUGCCAUUGAUACUGGAUGUCUUGAAUUAGUGUGAAGUGGUUAGAAUGUGAAGUGUAGCGGUGAAAUGCAUAGAUAUUACACAGAAUACCAAUUGCGAAGGCAGAUCACUAACACUAUAUUGACGCUGAGGGACGAAAGCGUGGGGAGCGAACAGGAUUAGAUACCCUGGUAGUCC
Molecule: ribosomal RNA, 229 nt
Filed under: uncultured bacterium
Lineage: Bacteria
Description: partial 16S ribosomal RNA
Rfam family: Bacterial small subunit ribosomal RNA
Source: RNAcentral